Molecule: ribosomal RNA, 395 nt
Filed under: uncultured bacterium
Lineage: Bacteria
Description: partial 16S ribosomal RNA
Rfam family: Bacterial small subunit ribosomal RNA
Source: RNAcentral
AAUAUUGCACAAUGGAGGAAACUCUGAUGCAUCGACGCCGCGUGAGUGAAGAAGGUCUUCGGAUCGUAAAACUCUGUACUUGGUGACGAUAAUGACGGUAGCUAAGGAGGAAGCCCCGGCUAACUACGUGCCAGCAGCCGCGGUAAUACGUAGGGGGCUAGCGUUGUCCGGAUUUACUGGGCGUAAAGGGUGAGUAGGCGGUUGCAUAAGUCAGAUGUAAAAGGCUAAGGCCUAACCAUAGUAUGCAUUUGAAACUGUGUGACUUGAGUGCAGGAGAGGUAAGCAGAAUUCCUAGUGUAGCGGUGAAAUGCGUAGAUAUUAGGAGGAACACCAGUGGCGAAGGCGGCUUACUGGACUGUAACUGACGCUGAGUCACGAAAGCGUGAGUAGCAAAC